GAUGUUUGGGGCUUUUCUGAGGCUGAUGUGCAGCAUGUGACUGUUCUUUUCCCCAUGUGUUGUGCUGUUUUGCUUACUGUGAGAUGGUGCAAAUAUCCAGGUUUAGAGAUUCCUCUCUUGGAUUUUGAAGAGUCUCCUGAAUCUGACCUUUUACCACCUCUAAUGCUUCCAAGCCCUUGAACAGCACAGCAUGAAGACUGUUUGCUUGGCUGGAAGUGCACCAGCCAGGGACAGAAGUAGCCCAUCAUUUAAACCAAGUUAGUUAGAGAGAAGGAGACUGUGCUUGUUGAGCUGUCAGCAGAUGAUGUAAAAAAGGGGCAGCCAAAAUAAGCUAGAAAUGUCAAAAUAAUCAGCGACUGGAAAGCUACUGCUUUGUAUUAAGGGAAAAAGUUGACAGAAUUUUCACUAGCAACAGGGCUUUUAAUGAGCAACUGUUAAGGAAGAGAGGACCAACAGAAGUUACUGUUUGCUCGCUGGGAUUACCCUGUCAGCUGUAGUUCUUUUCAGAAAAGCAGAAGAAUGUCUUUAUGGUAAUUAAAAAUGCAGGAUAUACUGAGGACUGAGACUUUCUUUUUACACUUGGAAUAUGAAGCUUACAAUCAUCCUGGACAUUUGAAAAACCAUUUCUGCAACUGUAUUGAGAGCAGCCUUGCAGAUGUGAUGCAGUUCCAUGAAUGAGUCAAUGGCAGAUCAUUGUCCUAACCUUGU
Molecule: long non-coding RNA, 708 nt
Organism: Pezoporus occidentalis (night parrot)
Lineage: Eukaryota; Metazoa; Chordata; Aves; Psittaciformes; Psittacidae
Exons: 3
Source: RefSeq, a predicted model, not a curated record